Molecule: ribosomal RNA, 253 nt
Filed under: uncultured bacterium
Lineage: Bacteria
Description: partial 16S ribosomal RNA
Rfam family: Bacterial small subunit ribosomal RNA
Source: RNAcentral
UACGGAGGGAGCUAGCGUUGUUCGGAAUUACUGGGCGUAAAGCGCGCGUAGGCGGCUUUGUAAGUUAGAGGUGAAAGCCCGGGGCUCAACUCCGGAACUGCCUUUAAGACUGCAUCGCUAGAAUCCGGGAGAGGUGAGUGGAAUUCCGAGUGUAGAGGUGAAAUUCGUAGAUAUUCGGAGGAACACCAGUGGCGAAGGCGGCUCACUGGUCCAUUACUGACGCUGAGGUGCGAAAGCGUGGGGAGCAAACAGG